RNAcentral lists this ribosomal RNA (253 nucleotides) under uncultured bacterium. RNAcentral describes it as "partial 16S ribosomal RNA". It matches the Rfam family "Bacterial small subunit ribosomal RNA", at positions 524 to 776 of the family's 1533-position model. The record is from RNAcentral.
AACGUAGGAGGCAAGCGUUAUCCGGAGUGACUGGGCGUAAAGAGCGUGUAGGCGGUUGAGUAAGUUGCGUGUGAAAGCGCCCGGCUAAACUGGGCGAGGACAGGCAAGACUGCUGAGCUAGCGGCCGAUAGAGGGGUGCGGAAUUCCGGGUUUAGCGGUGAAAUGUGUAGAGAACCGGAGGAACACCAGUGGUGCAGACGACGCCCUGGAUCGGACCUGACGCUGAGACGCGAAAGCGUGGGGAGCGAACGGG